CCUGCUCAGAUUGAACGCUGGCGGCAGGCCUAACACAUGCAAGUCGAGCGGUAACAGGGGUAGCUUGCUACCCGCUGACGAGCGGCGGACGGGUGAGUAAUGCUUAGGAAUCUGCCUGGUAGAGGGGGAUAGCCCGGGGAAACCCGGAUUAAUACCGCAUACGCCCUACGGGGGAAAGCAGGGGAUCUUCGGACCUUGCGCUAUCAGAUGAGCCUGCGUCGGAUUAGCUAGUUGGUGGGGUAAAGGCCCACCAAGGCGACGAUCCGUAACUGGUCUGAGAGGAUGAUCAGCCACACUGGGACUGAGGCACGGCCCAGACUCCUACGGGAGGCAGCAGUGGGGAAUAUUGGACAAUGGGCGAAAGCCUGAUCCAGCAAUGCCGCGUGGGUGAAGAAGGCCUUAGGGUUGUAAACCCCUUUCACC
This 423-nucleotide ribosomal RNA is filed under the name uncultured Gammaproteobacteria bacterium. RNAcentral's name for it is "bacterial SSU rRNA". It matches the Rfam family "Bacterial small subunit ribosomal RNA", at positions 19 to 440 of the family's 1533-position model. Lineage: Bacteria; Pseudomonadati; Pseudomonadota; Gammaproteobacteria. The record is from RNAcentral.